RNAcentral lists this ribosomal RNA (292 nucleotides) under uncultured bacterium. RNAcentral describes it as "partial 16S ribosomal RNA". It matches the Rfam family "Bacterial small subunit ribosomal RNA", at positions 505 to 796 of the family's 1533-position model. The record is from RNAcentral.
GUGCCAGCAGCCGCGGUAAUACGUAUGGGGCAAGCGUUAUCCGGAUUCAUUGGGCGUAAAGAGCGCGUAGGCGGCUUGUUAAGUCAGAUGUGAAACCUGGGGGCUCAACCCGCAGCGUGCAUCUGAAACUGGCAGGCUUGAGUCUGGUAGAGGAAAGUGGAAUUCCCAGUGUAGCGGUGAAAUGCGCAGAUAUUGGGAGGAACACCAGUGGCGAAGGCGGCUUUCUGGGCCACGACUGACGCUGAGGCGCGAAAGCUAGGGGAGCAAACAGGAUUAGAUACCCCAGUAGUCC